RNAcentral lists this non-coding RNA (24 nucleotides) under Cricetulus griseus (Chinese hamster). The record is from RNAcentral. Lineage: Eukaryota; Metazoa; Chordata; Mammalia; Rodentia; Cricetidae.
GGUCCAGGAUGAAACCUAAUCUGA